This 1787-nucleotide long non-coding RNA is filed under the name Dromaius novaehollandiae (emu). Its description in RNAcentral is "lncRNA (ENSDNVG00000011931.1)". Lineage: Eukaryota; Metazoa; Chordata; Aves; Casuariiformes; Dromaiidae. The record is from RNAcentral.
CAAAGCUCCUUGCCAAUGCUAGUCACGGUUUAAGGAACUUUGAGUUAACCUCUUAUAUCGAAUGAAUCUUUUCAUUUGGAAACCAAUAAAUCUCAAUCUCUAGCCACCUUUUGUAGAACAGGCUGGGGCUUACCAAGGCAAGGCUGAAGCUUAUAAUAAAGAAGAGAUAAAGUUUGCCAAAGUUUUUUUUUUCCUCCCCUUCUUCUUCUUCCUCUUCUCUUGUAAAUAAAAGUUUUGGAGAUGGCAGCAUUUGGAAGCGAUCCGGAGAAGGACUUGGAUCUAUGCAUUGUUUCACACGCCGAGUGCCCGGUAACACGAGAGGUUUCCUCCGAAGGAAACCCAGACCCCAGCGAAGUCGCAGCGCCGUCGCCGCCGAGCCCGGGGCUGCCCGCUCCCAGAGACGGUGCCUGCAGCGGGGCGAGAGCCGCGAGCCUCCGACCACACCGUAGCGAACCCCGGCCGGUAUCACGAGGGCAACCUUCCCACGGGCCUCCAGGUUUGCUCUCAUCCUGCCUGACACUGAUAAGUCCUUUUGCUGAAUUCCCGAAAGUUGCKUGCUCUUCCGUUUCGGGUAUAAAGUUACCGAAGUGUGACAGAUAAAGGCAUAUGCCUUUACUGUUYCUGAACACGAGUUAAAGCCGCGCAUACGAGACUCCGGUGCAAAGGCUUAGUUAAAAGGUGCUGCUGCUUAAAUGAAAAACUGCCAAAAAAAAGUGUAGUGCUUUAAACAACAGCACGAAGAAAAUCAUAACAUAGUCAAYCCUAAUGCAGCGGAAAGCGUCAGCCCCCAGAAGAAUAGAGGCRUCCUCCGCUCUGCUGUCACUCGCAUUUGCACCUGUAUCUGUACUUUCAAGRGAAGGAGGACGUGGAUCAGGAAGCCACUUCGCUUCUCCUCUCCUUAAAUUGUGUUUCGAAACACACCUGACACGUUCACCAAUACAUGACAUUAUUCUGCACYCAGGCUAACAGUGGUCGGUUUGGGGGAUGCGGCGAAAUGUUAAGGAUGGAGCAAGAAAGCGGCAACUGCGGAAAGGAAUCCUAGGAGCUCUUCUAAAGGAGCCCCGGAAAGACAAAUUAACGGGGACUACAGGGAUUAUAAUAUAUCAGUUUUAUCCUCCUUUCGGUGAGCGGUAUAAUGUAAGGAGGGGUGGCAGAUUUGGAAGAGACAACUAUUCGCAUCUUCCACUUGGGGAACAAGUUUUUGCCUGCAUUUGCAGUCGCUGAUACUGUUAUCGCAUCUCCUGCUUUGGAGAGCACAGCCCAGCCCCACUCUGCCUCGCAUUAUUUAUAACCCCCUGCUUCGUGUGGUCAUUUAAAACUGUUUGAAUUUGAGCUGCUAAGCCCCAAAACUUUUACAAACUUGAAGAGAAAGAUAGCCCAUGAGAAAGAGUAUUACAGCUGAGGGAACAAUCAUAUCACACGGCGUUGGCCAGCGAGGCUAAAAAAAAAUAGUGUAGGCUCUCACUUCAGACAAUCUGUAAAUUCCUGUGUUUUUUCUUUUUAAAUCAGUAAAAGAUGUGAAGGGGCGAUUAACAGCUUUAAAGGUAAACAGGAAAGAAAGCUUUCCCGGGGCGGGGUCAUCGCUGGGAAGCCGAAAGGAGGACAGGAGUCCGUCUGACGGGAAUCAAGCGUUUCUUCGCAAAGYUGCUGGGAGAGAGGCGAGCAGAUGGCAACCCGGGGAGCCAGGCAGCAAGGAGGUGCGCCCCUCUUCUCGAGGAAGAGGGGGCAUCGCCCUUCCCCGGAUUCCCCAGCCCUUGGAUAAUAAACUCAAGUGUCUGCCUGUCUCA